Oryzias melastigma (Indian medaka) is the source of this 1041-nucleotide long non-coding RNA. RefSeq lists it as uncharacterized. The record is from RefSeq and is a predicted model, not a curated record. The transcript is spliced from 3 exons. NCBI's taxonomy places the organism in Eukaryota, Metazoa, Chordata, Actinopteri, Beloniformes, Adrianichthyidae.
GGGGAUUUGUGGUCUUCUUUUCAAUCUGAGUGACCCUUCAGGUCGUGUUCAUUUCUCCAGGACCGGUCAUGACCGUUACUGAUGGUGAGAGUGGCACAAGCUAUCUGGCAUGGAGGAUUAAAAACUAUUCAGGGAUCUGAAGCAGGACGCAGAUGAGCAUCACACAGAGGUUGGAACAAACAUCGUGGAAUACCUCCAGGGGGUGGAGUCCAGGCCCUAUCCGUCUGUUCUGACCCUUGGACAAGUGACGCAAAAUUGUUCACAAGCUUUUUCUGUGAUGGCUGGUCAGGGAUACCCUGAAGAUGCACUGGGGCAGUCGGUGUCUGCUUCAAGACAUUUUAUGUGUUUGAUAUCAACUACCCCAUGUAGUGUGCCUCUUCAUGGGAGUUCCUCCAGAAAGUGGUUUAUGACAUGGAGGGACCAGAAUCUAACAAAGUUAAGUUUUUAAAGACUGUCUUAAAGAAUGUCAAAGUGUUUAAAAAAAAUCUGAGUUCAUAAUAGUUUCUGAAAAAAAAAACAUGAAUUUGUUUCAGAUGCUUUUUCUGCUACUUGCUGCUUUUUCAAGAAAGCAUUUGUCUUCUGUAUUUUAUUGGUGCUACUUUUUGGGAUUUUAAUCUAAAUAAAUAUUUGUCAUGAAUUCCUUGGUUUCUUUCUUGGCGGUGAACAUAUUUUGGGUUGUAAUUUUUGAUUUUUAAAUGUUUUUUAUUGAAUGUUAAAGGUUAGGUUUUAUUGAACACAAAGGAGAAAAUGUAGAUUUUUAGAUUUAACCCAAGGUUGAGUUAAAUAAACUCAGGAGUUUGGUAAAUACGACCUUUGAAAUGGUUUGUUCAUUUAACCCAAAACUUGGGUUUGUGGAAUUAACCCACGAUUAUGAGUCAAAUAAACUCAAGAGUUGGGUUAACUAGACCUUUAAAUUGGGUUGUUAAUUAACCGAAUAUUUAGGUUGGUGGAACCAACCCAAAUUUCUGAGUUAAAAUAACCCAACAAAAAGGUAGUUCCUUUUCAACCCCUGGAGUUGGGUUAAAAAUAACCCAAGUUGGG